GGAGAAAAGAAAUGGUCAUGCCGCGUUAACAAAUUGCGGAGGAGGAAAUCCCCAAGGGUGUCCAAGACGGCUGUAACUUUCAUUUCGUUAGAUUUUUGUUGCAAACUCUCUUUUUCCUCGCAAAAAAGAAAGAUUUUUGUUGCAAACUCCCACCUAAGCACAGGGAGAUGUUAUUGUCAGGCGUCUGAUUUUUCUUGUUUUCUUUCAGUCGCCGUUACCAUCCCCUCCUCCCACCCUCGCCGCCGGCGACUCGCCGAUGCCCUUGCGGGUCCCCGGCCACCGCGGCCUCCCCCGCCUUCUCCCCCUCCUCCUCCUGCUCGCGCUCCUCGCGCCUCCCCCGCGCUGCGCGGCCGAGUCGGCGACGUGCCUCGCCGUGUACCGGGAGGGCGGCGCGCCGGCGGUGUUCCAGUCCGCGCACUGCCCGCGUUGGACGCUGCCCCCACCCGGCGCCGGCGAGGGGCAUGGCGGAGGGGGCGGGAGCUUCCCGAUGGGGUGCCACGUGGCGGCCGAGCGCGGCCGGCGGCGGUCCCAGGAGGACCGCGCCGUGUGCGCCCUCGGCAUCCGCAUCCCCUUCGUAGAGCAGAUGAGGAUUAAAGAGGUUGAUGUGGGAGUGGUUGCCAUAUUUGAUGGUCAUAAUGGAGCUGAGGCUAGUGAGAUGGCUUCCAAGCUUUUUCUGGAUUACUUCUUGCUCCAUGUUUAUUUUCUUCUCGAUGGUAUAUACUCCAUGAUGUUCAGAAAAUCUACUGGGAAACUGACAUAUAGGGAAGUUGCUAUUUUUAACAACGUAUUCAAUCUGUACAAGGAUGACCAAUCCAACCACAGAGAGGGGUCAUGUUGGACAUCGCCAGCUAUUUUAGACCGAUCAUUUCACAUGGAAAUUCUGAAGGAAUCAUUAACAAGGGCAGUUCAUGAUAUCGACUUAACAUUCUUCAAGGAAGCUUCGCAGAAACAUUUUGAGUCUGGUUCAACAGCGACUGUGGUCUUGAUAGCUGAUGGACAAAUUAUAGCUGCCAAUGUAGGAGAUUCAAAAGCUUUUCUGUGCUCAGAAGGACAUGAUCCACACCGUCGAAAUAGGAAACGGAGAAGAAAGAGAAACUCAAUCGAUCAUGAAGAAUUUGCUUUGGCAAAUUAUGAUGGACCACUGUAUCAUGCAAGGGAGCUGACCAAGGACCACCAUCCUGAUAGAGAAGAUGAGAGAAGCCGCGUGGAGGCUGCUGGUGGUUAUGUUAUUGAGUGGGCUGGUGUAUACCGUGUUAAUGGUGAGCUAGCACUCUCAAGAGCUAUUGGUGACCUUCCUUUUAAGAGAUAUGGGGUAAUAUCUACACCUGAAUUGACAGGAUGGCAGAUCCUGUCAGAAAAUGACACUUUUCUGGUUGCGUCAUCCGAUGGGAUCUUUGAGAAAAUGACUAUGCAAGAUGUUUGUGACCUGAUGCUGAAUGCGAAAUUGCGUGUUAACCAGGAUUUAAGAUCAUCUGCUAUCACACAACAUAAUUUGGCAGAUUAUGUAGUUCGUGUUGCUUUGCAAAAAGGCACAAGAGACAAUGUGGCUGCUGUGGUUGUUCCAUUGGGACCACCUAGUAGUGGUACGACAUUAGAAGAUUGGUCUCAGUUUGAAGAAAAUCUCAAGACAUCUAUUUCACCAUUGCAGAAUAUUCCAUACCAACUAAAUGCUGCAGAUGAUGGCACUAGUUCAGCUGUUAUUGACAUGGAGUAUUUCAGGCGUUCAUCAACAAAGUUCCAGAGGUUCUUGGUUGAAGCAAAACUUAAGACACUCGGUUGUUUCUACUUGUCCGAGAGUCUGGAUGAAGAUGUGGACUACAUAUUUAGGGUACCGGAAGCAUACCAGCGUGAAGAAGCCUAUGACUUCAAUCACGUACCAUCUGAGACUGCCUUAUAUUCUGAUGGUAAUCUUGAAAAAUACAAGGACAGACACUUUUGCUUGUACCUUGGUCAUCAAGAUGGUGAAAUGGGGCGGUGCAAUGGUCCUGAAGCAGUGGCAAAUUUUUUUGGUUUAUUUGACUCCCUUCCUCAUAAUGGAACCAAUUCAAAUGGUUCACGCUCCUUUGGCAACAAGAUAGAUUUCAGGUACAAGCUUAAGAGGAGAUUUGAUCGUGGUUCAUAUGGUGAAGUCUGGUUGGCAUUUCACUGGAAUUGCUCUGAAGAUCUAGAUUUGCAUAAAGACCCUCGACAUUUUACCAAUAUACCUAAAUCAGACUCGUAUAACUGCACAAGUUCAAACACAACGCCAUCUGAUGAAGAUCAUUUCUCAGACACAGUAGAUGGUGAUUUAUUCAUACUGAAGCGCAUAAUGGUGGAGAGGGGAAAUGCUGCUUACUUGAGUGGAUUGCGGGAGAAAUACUUUGGGGAAUUAUUUUCAAUUGCUUCCAGAACUCUUGAAGGUUUGUCAAGGACAGAAUCUUCAUCGACUAUUUUUUCAAUGGACAUGCCAUCGGAUCCUGAUAUCCUUCUAGAAAGGAACAUGUCAGUUACUGAAGAACCACUCAAGCAUGUGGCUAGGUUUAUCGAAUCUUUUGAAUCAGAAUCAAGGGAAAUUUGGCUUGUCUACCAGAAUGAAGGCCGCUCAUUAUCAAAACUGAUAUAUACAGCUGAAGAAACAAAGUUAGUCACUGGCAACAAUAAUGAGAGGGUCAGACAUAUUCAAGUUCUACACCCAUCAAAGUGGUGGUAUUGGUUAAGGACAACAAAAGCUGGGCAAAAUCAAAUGCAGAACCUCUUAUGGCAGCUGCUGAUGGGACUGAAGGCUUGUCAUGAUCGUAAUAUCACUCACAGGGAUAUCAAACCUGAGAACAUGAUCAUUUGCUUUGAGGAUGUGGAUACUGGAAAGUGUCUAAGAGAGGUUCCAUCUGAAGCAAAGCAAAAUAAGCUGAACAUGCGUUUGAUUGACUUCGGCAGCGCCAUUGAUGAUUACACAUUGAAACAUCUUUAUGGUUCAGGGCCUACUCGGUGUGUGAUAAUUUUCCUUUCCUUCCCUUCAUAUUUGGUUGGAGCGUAAAAUUAUGAUCUUUAUGGUUCAAGGCCUACUCGAUCUGAACAGACUUUUGAGUACACUCCUCCAGAGGCACUCCUUAAUUCAAACUGGUUUCAAGGAUCAAAAAGUGCAAGACUGAAGUAUGAUAUCUGGAGUGUUGGAGUUGUCAUGCUAGAAUUGAUAGUGGGUUCUCCCCAUGUUUUUCAGAUAAGCGAUCGUACACAUGUUUUAAUGGAUCACCGUCUUGAAGGGUGGAGUGAACAAACAAGGGAGCUUGCAUACAAGUUGAGGUCAUACAUGGAGUUAUGUAUUUUAGUCCCAGGGAUUUCAACGCAACAUGGCAGUGGAAGCUCAGAACAGGGUCAAUUUGGGUUGGCUUCGUGGAAAUGCUCUGAAGAAUCAUUUGCACAUCAAGUGAAGAUCAGAGAUCCUCUUAAAAUCGGCUUUCCUAAUUUAUGGGCAUUGCGACUUGCACGCCAGCUACUGGUGUGGCAUCCUGAGGACCGCCUCAGUGUUGAUGAAGCACUAAAUCAUCCUUAUUUCCAGGAGCCACCAUAAUGCAGAGGCGACGAAAACAACUAACCAGCUAAUGAAUCAAUAACGCAGGUCGGAUCAUCCAUUUGGUGCGUCUGAUCAGCAAAAUAUGUGAAAUGUUUGUAGAUAUCAGCCUGAGUGCGCCAUCUGGCGUUGUAAAAGUUUGAUAUGAAACAGAGCAUAGGAGCAUGUGUGAAAACACGUGUAUAACCAGCAACGUAGAUAGAUGUAGUCAUAUAGAGUUGCAAAGGAAGAGAAGCGGUUGUGUGAGUAGCUGCUGAAGAGUACCAACCAAAAAUGCCCUUUGGUAACUGAGGCCAUAUAUAAGAUCAGUUGAAUCUAGUGAUGCUGCAAAUAGUAUUAUGAUGAUGCUACUCGAUCUCAUCUGCUGAAUUCAAAGUGAAAAAAGGGUUCUUUGCUGGGUCA
Panicum virgatum (switchgrass) is the source of this 3949-nucleotide RNA transcript. It is a transcript of the gene named probable inactive protein kinase At3g63330, with no coding region annotated. Lineage: Eukaryota; Viridiplantae; Streptophyta; Magnoliopsida; Poales; Poaceae. The transcript is spliced from 20 exons. The record is from RefSeq and is a predicted model, not a curated record.